RNAcentral lists this transfer RNA (80 nucleotides) under Candidatus Phytoplasma pruni. It matches the Rfam family "tRNA". From Rfam's summary of the family: Transfer RNA (tRNA) molecules are approximately 80 nucleotides in length. Their secondary structure includes four short double-helical elements and three loops (D, anti-codon, and T loops). The record is from Rfam by way of RNAcentral. Lineage: Bacteria; Bacillati; Mycoplasmatota; Mollicutes; Acholeplasmatales; Acholeplasmataceae.
GCGGGUGUGGCGGAAUGGAAGACGCACUAGACUUAGGAUCUAGCGCUUUUGGCGUGCAGGUUCAAGUCCUGUCACCCGUA